CCGCUCUGCCGCCUCCAGGCAUUGGCGCUCUUGCGGGAGUGGGUUAGGGCCCUGCGGUUCCAGGGCUCUCCCAGUGGAGCAGGGGGUAAGGGAUACGCAUGUAGGGGCGUAGGGGCCGACCAGUUGACCGCACGGGCGCAGAGUUUCAUCCUCGCGUCGCCUCUGUUGGCUCUUAGAGGCGACCAGCCCUGUAGCUGAGCCAGGUUUCCCACCCAGUGAUGGACGAAGGGAAGAAACACCUUUGAGGUGUCGCCCACCCUCAGUCGGAGGGAUGACCCGCUUCUUCCUGGCCGGGCUUUAUACUCCUGGACACUCGCAAAGAAACCCCGUGGUGGCGCAGCCUCGACUGCUCCACGUGCGAUGCUUCCAUGGCUGGGCUCCUGCCUCUGGGGAUUCUGACUGUUUGCCCCUGGCCCAGCCAUAACUGUGACUCAAGGACCGAGGGCAGACACUGAGGUUGACACCGAGCAGCAGGACAAGACUCCUAGAAAGGAGUGGAGCCAAAAACUGGAUGGAGUCCGGAUCCCU
Molecule: long non-coding RNA, 528 nt
Organism: Myotis brandtii (Brandt's bat)
Lineage: Eukaryota; Metazoa; Chordata; Mammalia; Chiroptera; Vespertilionidae
Exons: 2
Source: RefSeq, a predicted model, not a curated record